This 3999-nucleotide long non-coding RNA is filed under the name Homo sapiens (human). RNAcentral's name for it is "HSALNT0085926". The record is from RNAcentral. Lineage: Eukaryota; Metazoa; Chordata; Mammalia; Primates; Hominidae.
CUACAGCAACAUCCUCUCUUUUCUGCCUGUCUCUUUUCAUGGAUAUUAAUUUUAAUCUUUAUCAGCUUUCGCCUGCCUAUGUAAAUUGUUCUCCAUCUUGUUUCCCUCAUCCAAAUUUGUCUCAAUUCGGACUUCCACAACAGGGAGCUUAAUACUAUUUUACUUUUUUCUUUCUGCUUAAAGUGUAUUUUACUUUUAAGUAAAGUGUAAUUUUCUUUACUGCUUAAAGUGUAUUUUACUUUUUUCUUUCUGCUUAAAACACGUUAAUGCUUGGGAAAUGUGAUGGAGGCAAGAGUUGAAGAGGUACUCAUUGUAGUUUAUUGCAGCACAGGCAAAAGAUAAUGCUAGAUGGAAGAUGAUUUUUCAUGGAUGUGAUUGAACAUGACUUUGGAAGUUUUCCUCCAUGUGAGUUUCAAGGUAGUGUUAAAGUAAAUAAGAAGGAGGCCAUUACAUACAGAGAUUGUCUCUGUAGCACAAGCUCUCAUAUUAGCAAAACCAGGACUUCACUUAAAAAACAUUUCUUGUAACUAAGAAAAGAAAAAGGGGGCCUCAGCGAGUCACCACCAAUCAACCAGCCAAUUCAUUAUACAACUAGAAACCUCCCAUCAGAACGUGCCCAAGUAAGGUAAAUGCCUCAUCACAUUGUGCAGAAAUAAGGCAGCCAUCUAGCUGUGUCUAAUCAGAGUAUACUCCUUCUACUUAAAAAAAAGGUAACUGUAAGACAACCUCAGGCAAGUCCUUCAGGAGGUAUUCCAGGAGAAGGCAUUGUUAUCAAGGAUGAAAACUCCUCGGGUGUUACUACCUCUGAAAACCCUCCACUGGGACAAGACAUGGAGAUGGAAGAUAGUUCUAUUGAUGAUCCUGACCAUAUAGGAGCUAUAGACCAGAGGCAGCACCUCAGUGGGAACAUGGACCAGGAAAACCCAGUGAAAGGACCCAUACACAUGACUUGAGACCACAAGUCGGAGGUGGUCUUUAGGUAAUCCAGAAUCCUCAUCUCUUCUUGUGUCUGACAUGAGUAAAAGUCAUCUAAAUUCAUUAUUUCGGCACUAUUUAUGCAGCUAAUUUUCUGCAGCUUCAUGAAAGACAUUCUGUUCUGGCCGUGGAAUGCAAACAAUCAUCUUACCAGGUUUCCCUUCUGGAACUGGGCCUGGUGUUGGGACUUUGACUGGGACCACCCCAAAAACAUAAUUCUGGGACUGUGUUGGGAAAUCUGUUGGAUCCUAUAUAUGGAGACACAGUGUCAGAGAGCUCUAUUAUGGAUCCAGGUCUGGGCUUGCACUGCCCCACGUGGAUAUCCCUGCUGGCUUUGGCUAAUCUCAAAUGCUGGAGAGGAACUUCAAUAUUUUUAGAAAGACACUCAAGCUUAGGGGCCCAUGAGGCAUGGGGCUUGCGCUGGGGUUCCUGCUUACUCAAGAAGGUUUGAAAAGAGAAAAUGACCUGGGCCUCUCUUGGACCGAGUUAUAUCCUUAUAGAAUAAUUUCUGCCCCUUUAUAAAUGAAAUAUCUGAGUAAUAAGCCAUCCAAAACUUCUUUGCCCAAAAUAACUUUUGGAUAAUUAUAAGUGAUAUUAAAGUACAAUCUAAAUGUGUUUUAAUCCCACAUAUGACUGCUACAAUCAUGUAGCAGUUAAUAAAAAAAAUUGAUAAUCAAAUUAUAGAAAAACAGCUCAUUUAAAAUGUCAGUUUUAAAGUAAUGAUUAAUCUUCAAUACUAAAUAGCAAUUAUAUGCAUUUUAAGUAGUUCAGAUAAAGAUUGCGUGUUUAGGAGAAAGUAUUUCCAGCCUUUCACAAAUGUUUUCAGAAAUGUGAAGUUGGAAAUAUAAACUGUUAUAAUGUGCACAAUUACAUAACUCCUAAAAAGUAUUUUAAACUCUUUAUAUGUAUUCAUCCUCUUAGAGCUGUUAUGUGGUAGAGAUGCUAUUAUGCUGAAUAAGUACUUAAACAUUUCUAUGGAAAUAUAAACCAAAGCAAAACAUUAAAUCUUCCGGUGCCUUGUAAGUAAGAUAAUAAGCACAGAAAUUUGUAGCAUACUUAAUAUCAUUUUCUCCACCCUGUACUUUAUCUUCAAUAUUCAUUUUUUAUUAGAUCUGGUUGAUUUUUACUUCCUUGGUGUUUGGCAAAUAGUUUUUUUCUUCUGUGCAUCUCACAUACGACUUAGUUUAGAAUUCAAUUCUAUUUAUUCCAUCUUGCUCUUUGCCUGCUCUCAUCCUUUGGGACACAUUUUCCUCAGUUUUCUAAAAACACAAAUAGAUCAUGCUACUUCUCUUCAAAUUCUUCAAUAAAUCCUAAUAUCCUUCAAAUUCAAAGCCAUUCAUCAAAGGUAAAUCUGGCAUAUAUUGGUGAUCUGGCACACACUGAAUUUUCUUGUCUCAUUCUAUUAAUGUAUCAUUCAUCUAUCCAUUCAUAUUUAUGAACUGCUGGUUUUCUGUCAUACACUAUUAUACGCCUGGGGAUAUAGCAUUAGCCAGGACCAUGGUUCUUGUUCUUAUGUGACUGUUGGGCUAGUAGAAAAAAAAUACAAUGAAAACAAAAUCAGAUAGAAAAGAUAAUUUUGAAAAGUGAUACCAAUCUUAAAAAAUAAUUAAAUGAGGCAGUUUGAAGGUAAUGAAGUCUAAAAAGGAGGGAUAGCCUGAAAAAGCUUUCUGGAAAGAGAGACAUCUGAGCUAAGACAUGAACUGAAAUAGCCAACCAUGCAAAGAUAAAGAUCCUCUCAGGCAAAGGGAAGAUAAGUUUCAAAGUCUCUGAAGCAUGGGUAAACUAGGUUUGUUCAAGAAGCAGAAACAGUAAGUCAGAGGCAUAAUCAAAAGAAAACUGGUAGGAAAAGAGAUUGAAAUGGAAGGGAGGGCCUAGGUUUUGCAGAAUAUUAUUUCUAUUUUCACAAAUUAUUCUUUAUAUAGUCCUGCAUUGACAGCUCCUUUGAAUAUAUCACACCAGCCCAACUCUUUCUCUUUGUUGUGUUAGAAGAAUCAGGGUGGUUUCGUUUCCUCUCAUAAUCCAUAACCCUUACUUGUACUGAAUGUUCCAUUUAGGUGUUUCUUCCAUUUAUCAUGAACAUAACACUUAAUGUGAUGCUUCAAAACAUAAAUUUCCAUUUUCACCCCUUUCUUGAGCUCUUUUUAAUAACUAAGAUGGUGUUUUUGAUACCUUUGCAUUAUUUCAAUUAUGUAGCCCAUUUUAAGUACUCUGAGAAUCUUUAAUAAUGAGGAUCUUUAAUAAUUUUUGAUAAGAAAAUCAAUUAAUUAAUAUACAAAACAAAGAAAAAAGAUAAUGUGAGCCCACAAUAAACCACUUUGUUUAAUAUAACUGUUUUGAUUAAGCAACUCAAUAUCUUGAUAUUUAACCCCUUUGUUUGAACCAAUUUCUCCCAUUUGGAACAGGACCAUUUACCCAAUGCCUGUACCCCCAUUGUAUCUUGGAAGUAGCUAACUUUUUUUUUUUCUAUUUUACAGGCUUAUAGGCAUAAGGGACUUGUCUUUUCUCAGAUGAGACUUUGGACUGUGGACUUUUGAGUUAAUCCAUACUUUUAGAACCUUGUUGUCAAUACAUACCACUAGAUGCAUCUUUUUUUCUCUUCAGUAGAAAUUUUCAGAGCAAAACACACAAUGCUCUGACAAGAUAAACAUUUAUAUAUACAAAUAAAGAAAUUGAAGUAUAAUAAUGUUUUGAAAAAUGAUUGCCAUAUUGAUAUGGUUUGGCUUCAUGUCCCCACCUCAUUUUGAAUUGUAAUUCCCAGUGUUUUGUGGGGGCUGGUGGGAGGUUAUUGGAUCACAAGAGAGGGUUUCCCCUUGCUGUUCUGCUGAGUGUGUUCUCACAAGUUCUGAUGCUUUAAAAGUGUGAGGGACUUUCCCCUUCCCUCUCACUCGCUCCUGCUGUCAUGUGAAGAUAUGUUUGCUUCCUCUUCACCUUCCACCAUGAUUGUAAGUUUUCUGAGGCCUCCCAGGAAUGACUCCUGUACAGUCUAUAGAACUGUAAGUCAAUUAAAUCUAUUUUUUCAUAAAU